Molecule: ribosomal RNA, 446 nt
Filed under: uncultured bacterium
Lineage: Bacteria
Description: partial 16S ribosomal RNA
Rfam family: Bacterial small subunit ribosomal RNA
Source: RNAcentral
GUCCAGACUCCUACGGGAGGCAGCAGUGGGGAAUAUUGCACAAUGGGGGAAACCCUGAUGCAGCGACGCCGCGUGAGCGAUGAAGUAUUUCGGUAUGUAAAGCUCUAUCAGCAGGGAGGAAAAUGACGGUACCUGACUAAGAAGCCCCGGCUAACUACGUGCCAGCAGCCGCGGUAAUACGUAGGGGGCAAGCGUUAUCCGGAUUUACUGGGUGUAAAGGGAGCGUAGACGGCUGUGCAAGCCAGAUGUGAAAGCCCGGGGCUCAACCCCGGGACUGCAUUUGGAACUGUGUGGCUGGAGUGUCGGAGAGGCAGGCGGAAUUCCUAGUGUAGCGGUGAAAUGCGUAGAUAUUAGGAGGAACACCGGUGGCGAAGGCGGCCUGCUGGACUGCGACUGACGUUGAGGCCCGAAAGCGUGGGGAGCAAACAGGAUUAGAUACCCCGGUA